GUCUACGGUCAUGCCACCUUGAACGUGCCUGAUUUCCUCUGAUGCUGGAAGCUUAGCAGGGUCAGGCCUGCUUAGUACUUGGAUGGGAGAAAACAUUGAUAUUUUGGUCU
This is a ribosomal RNA of Vulpes vulpes (red fox), 110 nucleotides long. Lineage: Eukaryota; Metazoa; Chordata; Mammalia; Carnivora; Canidae. The record is from Ensembl.